RNAcentral lists this ribosomal RNA (398 nucleotides) under uncultured bacterium. RNAcentral describes it as "bacterial SSU rRNA". It matches the Rfam family "Bacterial small subunit ribosomal RNA", at positions 28 to 424 of the family's 1533-position model. The record is from RNAcentral.
GAUGAACGCUAGCGGCAGGCCUAAUACAUGCAAGUCGAACGGUAAGGCCCUUUACGGGGUACACGAGUGGCGGACGGGUGCGUAACGCGUAUGCAACAUGCCUUCCAGCGGGGGAUAUACCAGGGAAACUUGGCGCAAUACCCCAUAGAAUUACGGGACCGCAUGGUCUUGUGAUUAAAACUCCGGUGCUGGGAGAUUGGCAUGCGUGACAUUAGCUAGUUGGCGGGGUAACGGCCCACCAAGGCGACGAUGUCUAGCUAGUCUGAGAGGAUGAUCAGCCACACUGGGACUGAGACAACGGCCCAGACUCCUACGGGAGGCAGCAGUAGGGAAUAUUGGACAAUGGGGGGAACCCUGAUCCAGCCAUGCCGCGUGAGGGAAGAAGGUCCUCUCGGAUU